This is a long non-coding RNA of Erpetoichthys calabaricus (reedfish), 591 nucleotides long. RefSeq lists it as uncharacterized. NCBI's taxonomy places the organism in Eukaryota, Metazoa, Chordata, Cladistia, Polypteriformes, Polypteridae. The transcript is spliced from 3 exons. The record is from RefSeq and is a predicted model, not a curated record.
GUGCCCGGCCCAGACACAGAAGAAGAACCGAAUCCAACCUAGACGAGGUAACAGUGCAGUAGAUUUACAGUGCAGGCAGGGACAAUGGGCUCGGAGAGCACUGAUCUAUAAAACUGUUCAUGAUGUAGUUUGUCAAUCUGCGAAUUUUAUUUUGAUGGUGAUUAUUAAUAAUGUUAUUGUGGACCGAUUGCCUCACCCAAUAAUGUAAUAACCCCGGAAUGGUGCCCUGUCCACGGUUAUUUCCACUUCAGGACAAGUCCUGCAAGGAUUGGUAGCCUUCCUGUGGAUCCCCAGCCUCACCCAGAUCACAGGAAUGCCUUCUUGUUGCAACAUGGUCACUGCACAUGCAUCAAUUGGAAACAAGAGGGUUCAAGACCUACGCCACCACCACCUAAUCAAAGCACCGUGAUGUUCCUACAUUGAAGGAUUAAAAGCCAGAAGUCUACAUGACAUCAUCAUCAACUCCUUCCAUGAGAACCCUAAAUACAAAGAAGACUGUUCAUUUAUGUUAGGUAGAAUGCCCAGAGGGGGCUGGGCGGUCUCAUGGUCUGGAACCCCUGCAGAUUUUAUUUUUUUCUCCAGCCGUCUGGA